RNAcentral lists this ribosomal RNA (253 nucleotides) under uncultured bacterium. RNAcentral describes it as "partial 16S ribosomal RNA". It matches the Rfam family "Bacterial small subunit ribosomal RNA", at positions 524 to 776 of the family's 1533-position model. The record is from RNAcentral.
UACGGAGGAUCCGAGCGUUAUCCGGAUUUAUUGGGUUUAAAGGGAGCGUAGGUGGAUAUAUAAGUCAGUUGUGAAAGUUUGCGGCUCAACCGUAAAAUUGCAGUUGAUACUGUAUAUCUUGAGUAUAGUAGAGGUGGGCGGAAUUCGUGGUGUAGCGGUGAAAUGCUUAGAUAUCACGAAGAACUCCGAUUGCGAAGGCAGCUCACUAGACUGUCACUGACACUGAGGCUCGAAAGUGUGGGUAUCAAACAGG